ACAACCAACAUUUAUUUCUCAUAGUUCUGGAGGCUGGGAGGUCCAAGAUCCAGGUGCCACAGAUUCUGUGUCAGACAUUUCUAUGUCUCCACUCCAUGUCUGGAUCUAUGGCAGUCAUCUUGGCAGACUGAAAAUGGCAGAGCGGCGCAGAAGGAUGGAAAGAAAACAGUGGGAUCCUGAAGAUGUUGUUGAGUAUCUGAAUAACCAGCCUUGAAAGUAGCCAUAUUAUUCAAGAGCAGUGAAUCUAGAUUUUUCUGUUAUUUGCAGCCAAACGCACCCUAUCUGGUUUUGUCCUUUAUCUCUGUACUUUGAGAAGCACCUAAUAAAAUUAUGCUUUGGACAGUC
Molecule: long non-coding RNA, 345 nt
Organism: Lynx canadensis (Canada lynx)
Lineage: Eukaryota; Metazoa; Chordata; Mammalia; Carnivora; Felidae
Exons: 2
Source: RefSeq, a predicted model, not a curated record